RNAcentral lists this ribosomal RNA (456 nucleotides) under uncultured Phormidium sp. RNAcentral describes it as "SSU rRNA". It matches the Rfam family "Bacterial small subunit ribosomal RNA", at positions 554 to 1009 of the family's 1533-position model. The record is from RNAcentral. Lineage: Bacteria; Bacillati; Cyanobacteriota; Cyanophyceae; Oscillatoriales; Oscillatoriaceae.
UUGGGCGUAAGAGUUCGUAGGUGGUUUGUUAAGUUUGGUGUUAAAGAUCGGGGCUCAACCCUGGGACUGCACUGAAUACUGGCAGACUCGAGUGUGGUAGAGGCUAGUGGAAUUCCCAGUGUAGCGGUGAAAUGCGUAGAUAUUGGGAAGAACACCGGUGGCGUAGGCGACUAGCUGGGCCAUAACUGACGCUGAGGAACGAAAGCCAGGGGAGCGAAUGGGAUUAGAUACCCCAGUAGUCCUGGCCGUAAACGAUGGAUACUAGGCGUAUCGGGUAUCGACCCCUGAUGUGCCGCAGCUAACGCGAUAAGUAUCCCGCCUGAGUAGUACGGCCGCAAGGUUGAAACUCAAAGGAAUUGACGGGGGCCCGCACAAGCGGUGGAACAUGUGGUUUAAUUCGAAGCAACGCGAAGAACCUUACCAGGGCUUGACAUGGUAGGAAGCUUUCGGAAACGA